Molecule: ribosomal RNA, 267 nt
Filed under: uncultured bacterium
Lineage: Bacteria
Description: partial 16S ribosomal RNA
Rfam family: Bacterial small subunit ribosomal RNA
Source: RNAcentral
GCAAGUCGAGCGAGAAUUUAUUUGAUGGAGACUUCGGUCAAAGCCAAAUGAAGGAAAGCGGCGGACGGGUGAGUAACGCGUGGGCAACCUGCCCUGUAUAAAGGGAUAGCCACUGGAAACGGUGAUUAAUACCUUAUAAGACUACAGAAACACAUGUUUCAGUAGCCAAAGCUCCGGCGAUACAGGAUGGGCCCGCGUUUGAUUAGCUAGUUGGUGAGGUAACGGCCCACCAAGGCGACGAUCGGUAGCUGGUCUGAGAGGACGACC